UACGUAGGUGGCAAGCGUUGUCCGGAAUUAUUGGGCGUAAAGCGCGCGCAGGCGGUCCUUUAAGUCUGAUGUGAAAGCCCACGGCUCAAACGUGGAGGGUCAUGGGAAACUGGGAGACUUGAGUGCAGGAGAGGAAGGUGGAAUUCCACGUGUAGCGGUGAAAUGCGUAGAGAUGUGGAGGAACACCAGUGGCGAAGGCGACUUUCUGGCCUACAACUGACGCUGAGGCGCGAAAGCGUGGGGAGCAAACAGG
Molecule: unclassified non-coding RNA, 253 nt
Filed under: uncultured Caryophanales bacterium
Lineage: Bacteria; Bacillati; Bacillota; Bacilli; Caryophanales
Description: uncultured Bacillales bacterium contains 16S-23S intergenic spacer region
Rfam family: Bacterial small subunit ribosomal RNA
Source: RNAcentral